Molecule: ribosomal RNA, 809 nt
Filed under: Escherichia coli
Lineage: Bacteria; Pseudomonadati; Pseudomonadota; Gammaproteobacteria; Enterobacterales; Enterobacteriaceae
Description: bacterial SSU rRNA
Source: RNAcentral
USCGGGCAGCUACACAUGCAAGUCGAACGGUAACAGRAAGCAGCUUGCUGYUUYGCUGACGAGUGGCGGACGGGUGAGUAAUGUCUGGGAAACUGCCUGAUGGAGGGGGAUAACUACUGGAAACGGUAGCUAAUACCGCAUAACGUCGCAAGACCAAAGAGGGGGACCUUCGGGCCUCUUGCCAUCGGAUGUGCCCAGAUGGGAUUAGCUAGUAGGUGGGGUAAAGGCUCACCUAGGCGACGAUCCCUAGCUGGUCUGAGAGGAUGACCAGCCACACUGGAACUGAGACACGGUCCAGACUCCUACGGGAGGCAGCAGUGGGGAAUAUUGCACAAUGGGCGCAAGCCUGAUGCAGCCAUGCCGCGUGUAUGAAGAAGGCCUUCGGGUUGUAAAGUACUUUCAGCGGGGAGGAAGGGAGUAAAGUUAAUACCUUUGCUCAUUGACGUUACCCGCAGAAGAAGCACCGGCUAACUCCGUGCCAGCAGCCGCGGUAAUACGGAGGGUGCAAGCGUUAAUCGGAAUUACUGGGCGUAAAGCGCACGCAGGCGGUUUGUUAAGUCAGAUGUGAAAUCCCCGGGCUCAACCUGGGAACUGCAUCUGAUACUGGCAAGCUUGAGUCUCGUAGAGGGGGGUAGAAUUCCAGUGUAGCGGUGAAAUGCGUAGAGAUCUGGAGGAAUACCGGUGGCGAAGCGGCCCCCUGGACGAGACUGACGCUCAGUGCGAAAGCGUGAGAGCAACAGAUAGAWACCUGGUAGUCCMCGCCGUAACGAUKUUCGACUKGGAGGUKGKKGCCCUKGRRGGCSGUKGCC